CUAAUUUAGACAUCAUCACAUGUUGCAAAUAAUUGAGACCUGAAAUUGGAAUCGCAAUUUGAUGUCUAAAAUCAUGCUAAUAGUCUCUUUAAGAUGCAGUAAAUUGCAGCAUGUGGAGUAAUAUUGAAGGAAUAUAUAUAGCAUAGCUGCAUAAGGUGCAAAAUCAAUGUGAUUUACAGCCAAAUAACCUUUAAUUACACACACGCACUGAUGGAUCAGGGGUGACUGAAGCCCCUCCCAAUUCUUCAGUUUUUUACACAUUGUUUGAUUUUAAUAAUUAUAGUAAAUUGCAGCUCGUGAAUGGGCAACUACUCUUCUCAGCCUUUGACAGAAGCAUGGCCUUUUCUUUUUCCUUUUUGGAGAGGAGAUACAUAUAUACGGAAAAAAAUGGGGGUACAGUCAGUGAUAAGCAUGGGGCAAAGGUCGAUCCAUUUUAGGUUUGGUGUAUGGGUUGAAGAUGCUUUUAAAACCACUCUUACUCCUCUGGUUUUCAAUCAUCACUCACUCCCUCUCUCUCUCUACGUCGCUGCCCUUCCCCUUGUUGAGAUGUCGGACGUCCAUCCUUAUUUCGAAGAGCAUGGUAAGAAACGGUGCAUAAAGUGUAAGAAAGAAUACGAAACGAGCACGGCCACGGAUAAUUUGAGAAGGCAUUUAACUAAGCAUCAUCCGGGAUGGGAAUCGGAGGUAUGGAAAUCCGAUACCUCAACCUCAACCUCAGAAAUAACAGCUGCAUUCGCGCGACUUGAGCAAACUAUUGAGAAAACACAACAAAUGAUUGAUAAAUAUAAAUAAACAGUGUCUGUACUGAGAUAGUACUAUGUUUUUAGCUUAUGUUAUGUCGGAUCUGUUGAAGUUGGCAUGUAUUAGUUAUGUGAUAUUGUGAUUGAUGUUUUUAGCUUAUGUUAUGUUGGAUCUGUUGAAGUUGGCAUUUAUUAGUUAUGUGAUAUUGUGAUUGAUUGUUAGGUAGUUGGGUGUUUUUAGAAUCUUGAAUUCUCUCUUAAUUCAAUGUCGUCUAUUUUGAUUUGAGAUCAUAUGGAUUGGAAAGGAAAGAUUUGGAUUAAUUUACAUUUAUAUUUCGAUUA
This is a long non-coding RNA of Salvia miltiorrhiza (redroot sage), 1082 nucleotides long. RefSeq lists it as uncharacterized. Lineage: Eukaryota; Viridiplantae; Streptophyta; Magnoliopsida; Lamiales; Lamiaceae. The transcript has 3 exons. The record is from RefSeq and is a predicted model, not a curated record.